UGGGGAAUUUUGGACAAUGGGCGAAAGCCUGAUCCAGCAAUGCCGCGUGUGUGAAGAAGGCCUUCGGGUUGUAAAGCACUUUUGUCCGGAAAGAAAUCCUUGGCUCUAAUACAGUCGGGGGAUGACGGUACCGGAAGAAUAAGCACCGGCUAACUACGUGCCAGCAGCCGCGGUAAUACGUAGGGUGCAAGCGUUAAUCGGAAUUACUGGGCGUAAAGCGUGCGCAGGCGGUUUGCUAAGACCGAUGUGAAAUCUCCGGGCUCAACCUGGGAACUGCAUUGGUGACUGGCAGGCUAGAGUAUGGCAGAGGGGGGUUAGAAUUCCACGUGUAGCAGUGAAAUGCGUAGAGAUGUGGAGGAAUACCGAUGGCGAAGGCAGCCCCCUGGGCCAAUACUGACGCUCAUGCACGAAAGCGUGGGGAGCAAACAGGAUUAGAUACCCUGGUAGUCCACGCCCUAAACGAUGUCAACUAGUUGUUGGGGAUUCAUUUCCUAGUAACGUAGCUAACGCGUGAAGUUGACCGCCUGGGGAGUACGGUCGCAAGAUU
Molecule: ribosomal RNA, 547 nt
Filed under: uncultured bacterium
Lineage: Bacteria
Description: partial 16S ribosomal RNA
Rfam family: Bacterial small subunit ribosomal RNA
Source: RNAcentral